This 96-nucleotide transfer RNA is filed under the name Rosellinia necatrix. It matches the Rfam family "tRNA". Rfam says of the family: Transfer RNA (tRNA) molecules are approximately 80 nucleotides in length. Their secondary structure includes four short double-helical elements and three loops (D, anti-codon, and T loops). Further hydrogen bonds mediate the characteristic L-shaped molecular structure. tRNAs have two regions of fundamental functional importance: the anti-codon, which is responsible for specific mRNA codon recognition, and the 3' end, to which the tRNAs corresponding amino acid is attached (by aminoacyl-tRNA synthetases). tRNAs cope with the degeneracy of the genetic code in two manners: having more than one tRNA (with a specific anti-codon) for a particular amino acid; and 'wobble' base-pairing, i.e. permitting non-standard base-pairing at the 3rd anti-codon position. The record is from Rfam by way of RNAcentral. Lineage: Eukaryota; Fungi; Ascomycota; Sordariomycetes; Xylariales; Xylariaceae.
GGCCGCGUGGCCUAAUGGCAUGGCGUUAGAUUUCGGUGUUAACAACAAUGACAACCUGUUCUCUAAAGAUUGUCGGUUCGAAUCCGGCCGUGGUCG